RNAcentral lists this ribosomal RNA (459 nucleotides) under uncultured bacterium. Its description in RNAcentral is "partial 16S ribosomal RNA". It matches the Rfam family "Bacterial small subunit ribosomal RNA", at positions 338 to 795 of the family's 1533-position model. The record is from RNAcentral.
CCUACGGGGAGCUGCAGUGAGGAAUAUUGGUCAAUGGUCGGGAGACUGAACCAGCCAAGCCGCGUGAGGGAGGAAGGUACAGAGUAUCGUAAACCUCUUUUGUCAGGGAACAAAGGCGGGGACGUGUCCCCGGAUGAGUGUACCUGAAGAAAAAGCAUCGGCUAACCCCGUGCCAGCAGCCGCGGUAAUACGGAGGAUGCGAGCGUUAUCCGGAUUUAUUGGGUUUAAAGGGUGCGGAGGCGGUCUGUUAAGUCAGCGGUAAAAGCGCGGGGCUCAACCCCGGCCCGCCGUUGAAACUGGCAGUCUCGAGUUGGAGAGAAGUAUGCGGAAUGCGCGGUGUAGCGGUGAAAUGCAUAGAUAUCGCGCAGAACUCCGAUUGCGAAGGCAGCAUGCCGGCUCCACACUGACGCUGAGGCACGAAAGCGUGGGUAUCGAACAGGAUUAGAUACCCUGGUAGUC